GUGCUCAGUUUGCAGUACAUAUGCUAGAUUUGGACUGUUACAGAGAAAAUUAGCAUGGCACCUGCACAAGGAUGAAUGCAAAUUUGUAAAACAUUUUGUAUUUGA
This is a small nuclear RNA of Cercocebus atys (sooty mangabey), 105 nucleotides long. Lineage: Eukaryota; Metazoa; Chordata; Mammalia; Primates; Cercopithecidae. The record is from Ensembl.